This is a non-coding RNA of Potamilus streckersoni, 77 nucleotides long. NCBI's taxonomy places the organism in Eukaryota, Metazoa, Mollusca, Bivalvia, Unionida, Unionidae. The record is from the annotation of a GenBank genome assembly.
AACUACUCCGGUGGCAUAGUGGUUAGAGCGGCUGCCUUGAAAGCGGGAGGUCGUGGGUUCUAUCCCCGGUCGAGUCA